AAGGGCACGACAUUGCUCACAUUGCUUCCAGUAUUUUUAUUAGCCGGCUCGGGUGCCGGCUAUUUUUU
This 68-nucleotide non-coding RNA is filed under the name Xenorhabdus doucetiae. Lineage: Bacteria; Pseudomonadati; Pseudomonadota; Gammaproteobacteria; Enterobacterales; Morganellaceae. The record is from RNAcentral.